This 196-nucleotide ribosomal RNA is filed under the name uncultured rumen bacterium. Its description in RNAcentral is "partial 16S ribosomal RNA". It matches the Rfam family "Bacterial small subunit ribosomal RNA", at positions 338 to 525 of the family's 1533-position model. The record is from RNAcentral.
CCUACGGGAGGCAGCAGUGGGGAAUCUUCCGCAAUGGGCGAAAGCCUGACGGAGCGACGCCGCGUGAGUGAUGACGGCCUUCGGGUUGUAAAGCUCUGUGAUCGGGGACGAACGGUCCGUAAGCUAAUAUCUUAUGGAAGUGACGGUACCCGAAUAGCAAGCCACGGCUAACUACGUGCCAGCAGCCGCGGUAAUA